UUUGGUUGAUCCUGCCGGAGGCCAUUGCUAUUGGGAUCCGAUUUAGCCAUGCUAGUCGCACGGGUUCAGACUCGUGGCGAAUAGCUCAGUAACACGUGGCCAAACUACCCUUCGGAACACAAUACCCUCGGGAAACUGAGGCUAAUAGUGUAUACCAUACCACCACUGGAAUGAGUGGUAUGCCAAACGCUCCGGCGCCGAUGGAUGUGGCUGCGGCCGAUUAGGUAGACGGUGGGGUAACGGCCCACCGUGCCAAUAAUCGGUAUGGGUCAUGAGAGUGAGAACCCAGAGACGGAAUCUGAGACAAGAUUCCGGGCCCUACGGGGCGCAGCAGGCGCGAAACCUUUACACUGCACGAUAGUGCGAUAGGGGGAUCCCAAGUGCACAGGCAUAGCGCCUGUGCUUUUCGGUACCCUAAGGCGGUACCAGAAUAGGGGCUGGGCAAGACCGGUGCCAGCCGCCGCGGUAAUACCGGCAGCCCAAGUGAUGGCCGAUCUUAUUGGGCCUAAAGCGUCCGUAGCUGGCCGCGCAAGUCCAUCGGGAAAUCCACCUGCUCAACAGGUGGGCGCCCGGUAGAAACUGCGUGGCUUGGGACCGGAAGGCGCGACGGGUACGUCCGGGGUAGGAGUGAAAUCCCGUAAUCCUGGACGGACCGCCGAUGGCGAAAGCACGUCGCGAGAACGGAUCCGACAGUGAGGGACGAAAGCCAGGGUCUCGAACCGGAUUAAAUACCCGGGUAGUCCUGGCCGUAAACAAUGUCUGCUAGGUGUGGCUCCCACUACNAGUGGGUGCUGUGCCNNAGGGAANCCGCUAANCAAACCGCCUGGG
RNAcentral lists this ribosomal RNA (828 nucleotides) under uncultured archaeon. RNAcentral's name for it is "bacterial SSU rRNA". It matches the Rfam family "Archaeal small subunit ribosomal RNA", at positions 1 to 832 of the family's 1478-position model. The record is from RNAcentral.